GAACGCACCUUGCACCCUUUGGCAUUCCGAAGGGUAUGCUCGUUUGAGUGUCAUUGUACUCUCACACUUCCAAUUCUUUGGAUUGGGAGCGGUGGACUUGGGUGUUGCUGCUUACCGUGGCUCACCUCAAAUGGAUUCGUGCAACUCUUGGUUGGACAUAGUACGGCGUAAUAAGUGUUUCGCCGGCACCUCACUAGAGGGUGGCUGAUCGGGAGCUCUGUGCUUCAAACCGUCUUCGGACAAUGACUGACAACUUGACCUCAAAUCGAGUAGGACCACCCGCUGAACUUAAG
RNAcentral lists this unclassified non-coding RNA (293 nucleotides) under uncultured Sebacina. RNAcentral describes it as "sequence contains 5.8S rRNA gene". Lineage: Eukaryota; Fungi; Basidiomycota; Agaricomycetes; Sebacinales; Sebacinaceae. The record is from RNAcentral.